Molecule: unclassified non-coding RNA, 313 nt
Filed under: Coprinellus micaceus
Lineage: Eukaryota; Fungi; Basidiomycota; Agaricomycetes; Agaricales; Psathyrellaceae
Description: partial internal transcribed spacer region
Rfam family: Eukaryotic small subunit ribosomal RNA (bases 1-46)
Source: RNAcentral
AAGUCGUAACAAGGUUUCCGUAGGUGAACCUGCGGAAGGAUCAUUAACGAAUAACUAUGGUGUCUUGGUUGUAGCUGGCUCCUCAGAGCAAUGUGCACGCCCGCCAUUUUUAUCUUUCCACCUGUGCACCGACUGUAGGUCUGGAUGACUCUCGCACUCCGGUGCGGAUGCGAGGAUUGCUCUCGGGCUCUCCUCGAAUUUCCAGGCUCUACGUCUUUUUACACACCCCAAACGUAUGAUACAGAAUGUAGUCAAUGGGCUUGAUCGCCUAUAAAACACUAUACAACUUUCAGCAACGGAUCUCUUGGCUCUC